Molecule: ribosomal RNA, 21 nt
Filed under: Anethum foeniculum (fennel)
Lineage: Eukaryota; Viridiplantae; Streptophyta; Magnoliopsida; Apiales; Apiaceae
Description: partial 18S ribosomal RNA
Source: RNAcentral
GAUCAUGCGGAGGAAUCAUUG